RNAcentral lists this ribosomal RNA (441 nucleotides) under uncultured bacterium. RNAcentral describes it as "partial 16S ribosomal RNA". It matches the Rfam family "Bacterial small subunit ribosomal RNA", at positions 338 to 795 of the family's 1533-position model. The record is from RNAcentral.
CCUACGGGUGGCAGCAGUGGGGAAUAUUGCACAAUGGGGGAAACCCUGAUGCAGCAACGCCGCGUGAGUGAGGAAGUAUUUCGGUAUGUAAAGCUCUAUCAGCAGGGAAUAGAAAAGAAGGUACCUGAAAAAGAAGCCCCGGCUAACUACGUGCCAGCAGCCGCGGUAAUCGGUAGGGGGCAAGCGUUAUCCGGAGUUACUGGGUGUAAAGGGAGCGUAGACGGAAAGGCAAGUCAGAAGUGAAAGCCAAAGGCUAAACCAUGGGACUGCUUUUGAAACUGUCAACGUAGAGUACGGGAGAGGUAAGAGGAAUACUUGGUGUAGCGGUGAAAUGCGUAGAGAUUAGGAGGAAUACCAGUGGCGAAGGCGUCCUACUGGACCGAAACUGACGUUGAGGCUCGAAAGCGUGGGGAGCAAACAGGAUUAGAUACCCUGGUAGUC